UUUCUUAUGAGCUGAGUGGAGUUUGUUCUGGGCAAUUGUCCAGUAUCUAGGUUUCGUUUUGACUUUGUAACCCAGAACGGAAAGACUCCAGGAACAUAUUUGGGGAAAUACUUCUAAAGGAUGGACCUUCCUUCCAUGCUUUAAAGAAGUUUCAGCCAGGAGUACGCAGGCCUCUCACUGCUGUGGCCCCUCCCGUUGCGGAGCACAGGCUCCGGACGCGCAGGCUCAGUGGCCAUGGCUCACGGGCUCAGCCGCUCCGCGGCAUGUGGGAUCUUCCUGGACCGGGGCACGAACCCGUGUCCCCUGCAUCGGCAGGCGGACCCUCAACCACUGCGCCACCAGGGAAGCCCUACAUUCUUUUUCAUAUUCUUUCCAUUAUGAUUUAUCACAGGAUAUUGAAUAUAGUUCCCUCUGCUAUACAGUAGGAGUGGCUUUUUCCCCUUGAUUCUAUUUUUGUGGUAUAUUACAUUGAUGGAUUUUCAAUUGUUGCCAACCUUGCAUUCCUAGGAUAAAGCCAGCCUUCUCCACUCCCAGCCUGGGGACCUGUUACCAUAAACCAUCCCAGCCGGCCACUCAGCCCCUCCACCACUGAGGGGGCAUCCAGAUAAACAGGGCUCCUUGUCUGCACAGUGCCAACCUGUUCACCACUACAUCUAUCAGGUCCUCUGGCUCCUAAAUAAACUAAUGCUUAAGGGCUCAGCCAAGGAAACCACUGCUCUGCUUUUCCCAACAGUCAGAAGUAAGAUUCUCAAACAAAAGAGGAAAAAAAAAAAAUAACAGGAGAGACGUUUGUUUCUUUGUGGUCAUUCAGCUUCCCUGUUGGGUGGGCCAAGGGAUCCUUGGACCUAAUUUUCUGGCCGCAUCCUAUGGGAUCUGCGGGCUAACUUGUUCCUGGAGAAAGUGUGUUUUUUCUUCCAACUAUAGCCUCUCACCUGUUUGACAGGCCUCAUAAAAUAAGGUAAUCCUCUCAGGGCUGGAAUAAAAUAUGUGGACGUUUUGGGCAGG
Long non-coding RNA from Physeter macrocephalus (sperm whale), 1005 nucleotides. RefSeq lists it as uncharacterized. Lineage: Eukaryota; Metazoa; Chordata; Mammalia; Artiodactyla; Physeteridae. The record is from RefSeq and is a predicted model, not a curated record. The transcript is spliced from 3 exons.